Molecule: ribosomal RNA, 2900 nt
Filed under: Klebsiella pneumoniae
Lineage: Bacteria; Pseudomonadati; Pseudomonadota; Gammaproteobacteria; Enterobacterales; Enterobacteriaceae
Also listed under: 1 other name
Description: bacterial LSU rRNA
Rfam family: Bacterial large subunit ribosomal RNA
Source: RNAcentral
UUAAGCGACUAAGCGUACACGGUGGAUGCCCUGGCAGUCAGAGGCGAUGAAGGACGUGCUAAUCUGCGAAAAGCGUCGGUAAGGUGAUAUGAACCGUUAUAACCGGCGAUGUCCGAAUGGGGAAACCCAGUGCAAUUCGUUGCACUAUCGUUAACUGAAUACAUAGGUUAACGAGGCGAACCGGGGGAACUGAAACAUCUAAGUACCCCGAGGAAAAGAAAUCAACCGAGAUUCCCCCAGUAGCGGCGAGCGAACGGGGAGCAGCCCAGAGUCUGAAUCAGCUUGUGUGUUAGUGGAACGGUCUGGAAAGUCCGACGGUACAGGGUGAUAGUCCCGUACACCAAAAUGCACAGGUUGUGAACUCGAAGAGUAGGGCGGGACACGUGGUAUCCUGUCUGAAUAUGGGGGGACCAUCCUCCAAGGCUAAAUACUCCUGACUGACCGAUAGUGAACCAGUACCGUGAGGGAAAGGCGAAAAGAACCCCGGCGAGGGGAGUGAAAAAGAACCUGAAACCGUGUACGUACAAGCAGUGGGAGCACCUUCGGGUGUGACUGCGUACCUUUUGUAUAAUGGGUCAGCGACUUAUAUUCUGUAGCAAGGUUAACCGUAUAGGGGAGCCGCAGGGAAACCGAGUCUUAACUGGGCGUUAAGUUGCAGGGUAUAGACCCGAAACCCGGUGAUCUAGCCAUGGGCAGGUUGAAGGUUGGGUAACACUAACUGGAGGACCGAACCGACUAAUGUUGAAAAAUUAGCGGAUGACUUGUGGCUGGGGGUGAAAGGCCAAUCAAACCGGGAGAUAGCUGGUUCUCCCCGAAAGCUAUUUAGGUAGCGCCUCGUGAAUUCAUCUUCGGGGGUAGAGCACUGUUUCGGCUAGGGGGUCAUCCCGACUUACCAACCCGAUGCAAACUACGAAUACCGAAGAAUGUUAUCACGGGAGACACACGGCGGGUGCUAACGUCCGUCGUGAAGAGGGAAACAACCCAGACCGCCAGCUAAGGUCCCAAAGUCAUGGUUAAGUGGGAAACGAUGUGGGAAGGCACAGACAGCCAGGAUGUUGGCUUAGAAGCAGCCAUCAUUUAAAGAAAGCGUAAUAGCUCACUGGUCGAGUCGGCCUGCGCGGAAGAUGUAACGGGGCUAAACCAUGCACCGAAGCUGCGGCAGCGACACUAUGUGUUGUUGGGUAGGGGAGCGUUCUGUAAGCCUGCGAAGGUGACCUGUGAGGGUUGCUGGAGGUAUCAGAAGUGCGAAUGCUGACAUAAGUAACGAUAAAGCGGGUGAAAAGCCCGCUCGCCGGAAGACCAAGGGUUCCUGUCCAACGUUAAUCGGGGCAGGGUGAGUCGACCCCUAAGGCGAGGCCGAAAGGCGUAGUCGAUGGGAAACAGGUUAAUAUUCCUGUACUUGGUGUUACUGCGAAGGGGGGACGGAGAAGGCUAUGUUAGCCGGGCGACGGUUGUCCCGGUUUAAGCAUGUAGGCUGGUUGUCCAGGCAAAUCCGGAUAAUCAAGGCUGAGGUGUGAUGACGAGGCACUACGGUGCUGAAGUAACAAAUGCCCUGCUUCCAGGAAAAGCCUCUAAGCAUCAGGUAACAUUAAAUCGUACCCCAAACCGACACAGGUGGUCAGGUAGAGAAUACCAAGGCGCUUGAGAGAACUCGGGUGAAGGAACUAGGCAAAAUGGUGCCGUAACUUCGGGAGAAGGCACGCUGGUGUGUAGGUGAAGUCCCUGCGGAUGGAGCUGAGACCAGUCGAAGAUACCAGCUGGCUGCAACUGUUUAUUAAAAACACAGCACUGUGCAAACACGAAAGUGGACGUAUACGGUGUGACGCCUGCCCGGUGCCGGAAGGUUAAUUGAUGGGGUUAUCCGUAAGGAGAAGCUCUUGAUCGAAGCCCCGGUAAACGGCGGCCGUAACUAUAACGGUCCUAAGGUAGCGAAAUUCCUUGUCGGGUAAGUUCCGACCUGCACGAAUGGCGUAAUGAUGGCCAGGCUGUCUCCACCCGAGACUCAGUGAAAUUGAACUCGCUGUGAAGAUGCAGUGUACCCGCGGCAAGACGGAAAGACCCCGUGAACCUUUACUAUAGCUUGACACUGAACAUUGAGCCUUGAUGUGUAGGAUAGGUGGGAGGCUUUGAAGCGUGGACGCCAGUCUGCGUGGAGCCAACCUUGAAAUACCACCCUUUAAUGUUUGAUGUUCUAACGUUGGCCCCUUACCGGGGUUGCGGACAGUGUCUGGUGGGUAGUUUGACUGGGGCGGUCUCCUCCCAAAGCGUAACGGAGGAGCACGAAGGUUAGCUAAUCCUGGUCGGACAUCAGGAGGUUAGUGCAAUGGCAUAAGCUAGCUUGACUGCGAGCGUGACGGCGCGAGCAGGUGCGAAAGCAGGUCAUAGUGAUCCGGUGGUUCUGAAUGGAAGGGCCAUCGCUCAACGGAUAAAAGGUACUCCGGGGAUAACAGGCUGAUACCGCCCAAGAGUUCAUAUCGACGGCGGUGUUUGGCACCUCGAUGUCGGCUCAUCACAUCCUGGGGCUGAAGUAGGUCCCAAGGGUAUGGCUGUUCGCCAUUUAAAGUGGUACGCGAGCUGGGUUUAGAACGUCGUGAGACAGUUCGGUCCCUAUCUGCCGUGGGCGCUGGAGAAUUGAGGGGGGCUGCUCCUAGUACGAGAGGACCGGAGUGGACGCAUCACUGGUGUUCGGGUUGUCAUGCCAAUGGCACUGCCCGGUAGCUAAAUGCGGAAGAGAUAAGUGCUGAAAGCAUCUAAGCACGAAACUUGCCCCGAGAUGAGUUCUCCCUGAGACUUUAAGUCUCCUGAAGGAACGUUGAAGACGACGACGUUGAUAGGCCGGGUGUGUAAGCGCAGCGAUGCGUUGAGCUAACCGGUACUAAUGAACCGUGAGGCUUAACCUU